Molecule: long non-coding RNA, 622 nt
Filed under: Elaeis guineensis (African oil palm)
Lineage: Eukaryota; Viridiplantae; Streptophyta; Magnoliopsida; Arecales; Arecaceae
Description: long non-coding RNA (EGUI_LNC081094)
Source: RNAcentral
UCCGCUAUAGAAGUUCGGACGGAGUCUGGUUCUUGUAGAAGGCUGAAAGGAGACCGCUUAUUGUAGAAGCUCGAUCGAAGAUCGGUUGUCAUGGGAGCUCGGAGUAGUGACCUGGCCGGUGGAUCCUAUCCCAUUGUAGAAGCUCGUCUGGGAUCCGUCCACUAUAGGAGCUUGGCUGAAGUCUGCCUGUAAUAGAAGUUCGAAAGAAAUGUGUUUACAGUAGAGGCUCGAAUGGAAUUUGCUUACAGUCAAGAUCCGAGGUAGACCGCCCGCUGUAGGAGUUCAGAGUAGAUCGCUCGUAGUAGAAGUUCGGCUCUCGCAGGAGCUCGGUUGGAAUCCUGAAGGCGGUCGACCGCCAUAAAAAUUUGGACGGAGUCUGAUUACUGUAGAAAUCUCAUUGUCGGAGAAGCUCGGAUAUUGAUGAAGUUUGGAAGAAGUUCGAAAAAUAGUUGAUCACUGUAGAAGGUCGAUUGAUAGUGAAGCCCAGAGAGCUUUUGGAGCGGCCCGACAGAUGGAUGGAGAAGCUCAUUGUCAGAGAAGUCCGGAUGGUAUUAUGGAAGCUCGGACGGUCGAGGGGGUUCAGAGAGAUGCUACACAAAAUUGAAAGUCAGAAAAGCCCUGG